Long non-coding RNA from Dicentrarchus labrax (European seabass), 1915 nucleotides. RefSeq lists it as uncharacterized. The record is from RefSeq and is a predicted model, not a curated record. The transcript has 2 exons. NCBI's taxonomy places the organism in Eukaryota, Metazoa, Chordata, Actinopteri, Moronidae.
CACACUCCUAACAACAAGAGGCACAACAUGAUGAGUGGCUAAUAACUAGCAGCUAACGAGGAGAUACAUGAAGACAGUCAGUCUGAGCACCAUUGGACAGAGGGACUUCCCUUACAGCCCAGGCAUCGUCUUCAACAGUCCCCAGUAAAGUCCACUGAAUAUAUCCAUGCCCGCACUACUGCCCAUUCAGCCUGAGAAUGGUUUCUGAUCUGCUCUCUAGAUUAGCAAGAGCCAGUAAUAGUCCGCCACCCACAGUUCAACACAAACUUAGCUCCCGUGUGAGCUCCUCAGACACUCAUCCACUUACACUGACAGGACCAGUCUUAAGAAAACACACCAGGGGGGAGGAGGAGUCACAUACAUGUGUGUUACUGGGUCGUGGAGUUAAGUGAUAUAAUGUGAGAAGAUCUUCCAUUUUCAAGAGAAGGAGAUUACUUAAAAUGGGCUGUGAAUGGAAGACAAGAGAACAUGGAGAGCUAAUGUUCAUAAUAUAAUCUCACCUUAGGCAGCUCCCAUUCUGACCUGGACCCAUCAGCACUGUAGUAGUAAGGCCGGCCUUGUUCGUCCACAUGUUUUAUCCACUGCGAACACAAACACUAGUCAGUUUUCCAAACAGAAGGAAAACAGUAUUUACAAUUUAUUUACAAACAAUAUACAGAUACAGUAUGCAGGGGUGAAUCUAAACAUGAUCGACCCCGGGCCACUGUGAUCAGUCUAUUAUUUGUGUGGUUAAUCAAUAGACUUCACCUUCUCCUGUGUGUAUUCAGAGACGUAGAGCGUGUGUCCGUGUUCAUCCAGCUCCUCAGACCAGCCUCUAGGGGGCGACCCGUACUGGCUGUCGGACUGACUCGAGUGGGUGCUGUGACAGUUCUCCUCUGAGGACAGCGGCUGACCGACAGAAGAACAGGUUUUAUGAGCCAUUCAUGAAGACAUUGUGAACCUUUUACUUUACUUGAGUAUUUCUGUUUUAUGCUCCUUUAAACUCAUCCUUUAGCAGUAGGACCAACAGCCAGUUAGCUUAGCAGUAAUGUUACAAAGACGUGUUAUUACGUGUCCCAAUGCUUUUCUUUCCAAGACACUCCCUGCGUAGUAUUUAAGCGCUAGGAUUGGCCAGGAGCCCAUGCUCGUCAGUUGACAUACACAAAGCUUACCAACAAAAACUUUAUACGUAGUAUAAAUAGCAAUAAUCCAUGUCUACCUAGGAAGUAGUUGUGGAUUAAUGGGUUAAUCACAGGAAUUGUACCUCAGAACCUGGGGUUCGAUACCCCUAUUUUUCAGACUUAGCUGAUUUUUGGAGACGAUAUGGUUAGGGUUGGGAAAAUAUCAUGAUUUGGAUUAAAAUUAAAACCAUUUCACAACAUUAACCACUUGUCAAUGGUCAAGGUUUGGUAAUCCUAGCGCUUGAAUGCUACGCAGGGUAUGUCUGGCCAUGAAACACAGUGAGAGCCAUAAAAAUGCUACAAAGACAGGAAAACUGACAACAAGGCACAAUAUAAUAAGGUAUUAAUAAGUGUCUUCAUGUUUCCAUUCUUGCUAAGCAAAGCUAACCAGAUGCUGCAACUACAACGUCACCAUGCUGCUUAUACAAUGAUGCAUCUGUAAUAAUUACGCCUAUAAACAGACUGAUUAAUCGGGCUGAUCAUCUGGCAUUUCAAGAUAACUGGAAUCAGCUGAUGAGGCCGAUAAACAAAGAAUGUCAACUGUCAAAGACACGUGCAGGUACCGCUGUCAGCGUGGCUGCUGGGAAACGAUGUUACCUUGUGAAUUUUGGGAAGGUGGUGAUACCAGUCAGGUUCUGAAAUCUACAGCAUAAACCAAUGUUUUUUUCUGUUUCAUUAAUAAAAACUGUCUGAAACAACAUGUUACUGGUCAGGAUAACCAUGUAUAUUAGAUUGUAAUAAAUACUGGAACUAUA